This 484-nucleotide ribosomal RNA is filed under the name uncultured bacterium. RNAcentral describes it as "partial 16S ribosomal RNA". It matches the Rfam family "Bacterial small subunit ribosomal RNA", at positions 29 to 507 of the family's 1533-position model. The record is from RNAcentral.
AUUGAACGCUGGCGGCAUGCUUUACACAUGCAAGUCGAACGGCAGCGCGGGCUUCGGCCUGGCGGCGAGUGGCGAACGGGUGAGUAAUGCAUCGGAACGUGCCCAGUAGUGGGGGAUAGCCCGGCGAAAGCCGGAUUAAUACCGCAUACGACCUGAGGGUGAAAGCGGGGGACCGAAAGGCCUCGCGCUAUUGGAGCGGCCGAUGUCGGAUUAGCUAGUUGGUGGGGUAAAGGCUUACCAAAGCGACGAUCCGUAGCUGGUCUGAGAGGACGACCAGCCACACUGGGACUGAGACACGGCCCAGACUCCUACGGGAGGCAGCAGUGGGGAAUGUUGGACAAUGGGGGCAACCCUGAUCCAGCCAUGCCGCGUGCGGGAAGAAGGCCUUCGGGUUGUAAACCGCUUUUGUUCGGGAAGAAAUCCUCUGGGCUAAUACCCCGGGGGGAUGACGGUACCGGAAGAAUAAGCACCGGCUAACUACGUG